GAUGAACGCUGGCGGCGUGCCUAAUACAUGCAAGUCGAGCGAACAGACGAGGAGCUUGCUCCUCUGACGUUAGCGGCGGACGGGUGAGUAACACGUGGAUAACCUACCUAUAAGACUGGGAUAACUUCGGGAAACCGGAGCUAAUACCGGGUAAUAUAUUGAACCGCAUGGUUCAAUAGUGAAAGACGGUUUUGCUGUCACUUAUAGAUGGAUCCGCGCCGCAUUAGCUAGUUGGUAAGGUAACGGCUUACCGAGGCAACGAUGCGUAGCCGACCUGAGAGGGUGAUCGGCCACACUGGAACUGAGACACGGUCCAGACUCCUACGGGAGGCAGCAGUAGGGAAUCUUCCGCAAUGGGCGAAAGCCUGACGGAGCAACGCCGCGUGAGUGAUGAAGGUCUUCGGAUCGUAAAACUCUGUUAUUAGGGAAGAACAAAUGUGUAAGUAACUAUGCACGUCUUGACGGUACCUAAUCAGAAAGCCACGGCUAACUACGUG
This 497-nucleotide ribosomal RNA is filed under the name uncultured bacterium. RNAcentral's name for it is "partial 16S ribosomal RNA". It matches the Rfam family "Bacterial small subunit ribosomal RNA", at positions 28 to 507 of the family's 1533-position model. The record is from RNAcentral.